GGGGGCAGGAUGGUGCUCCUGGCUAAGUGCUGAAGCUGUGGUACCUGGACAGAGCAGUUGCUGGCUAGAGCUAGAGGAUCAAGGCUGGUGCUCCUGACUGAUGACUGGGACUCAAGGAUGACUUCAGCCCUGAGAUCAGUAAUAACGAAUCACAGCCAAACUUAAAAACUGCCCCAUUGACCAACAAAAGUAAGGGUGGCACAAGCCAGCACAAAAACAUAGGAAGCGAGCCAUGUGCGAAAGUGAAGAGAGUUCCUCCUUUGGGAUGACUGGAAGACAUCCCUCAGACAUAUGGCACAGAGAUAGCUUGAAGGGACUGGAGGAGAGUAUUGGAAAAUAGAAGGGAAGUCUGGAAAGUCCCGGCAUCACCACUGUAGCUGGAUGAAGAAUAAUUGAAUACAUGUUGAAGGAAUGAAAAACAGAAGUAACUAAAUAGCUUAAUUUAGCUAGGAACUUUAGGAAUCACCUAAAAUCUUUGCCUUUUAGUGCUACUGAAUGACCACAUUAAUUCAGAGCAGUGUGAGAAGUCUUAUGUAAAUGAAUGUUGAAAUGACAAGUGGU
Mauremys reevesii (Reeves's turtle) is the source of this 561-nucleotide long non-coding RNA. RefSeq lists it as uncharacterized. Lineage: Eukaryota; Metazoa; Chordata; Testudines; Geoemydidae. The record is from RefSeq and is a predicted model, not a curated record. The transcript has 3 exons.